AUUGAACGCUGGCGGCAGGCCUAGCACAUGCAAGUCGAACGGUAACAGGAAGCAGCUUGCUGCUUUGCUGACGAGUGGCGGACGGGUGAGUAAUGUCUGGGAAACUGCCCGAUGGAGGGGGAUAACUACUGGAAACGGUAGCUAAUACCGCAUAAUGUCGCAAGACCAAAGAGGGGGACCUUCGGGCCUCUUGCCAUCGGAUGUGCCCAGAUGGGAUUAGCUUGUUGGUGAGGUAACGGCUCACCAAGGCGACGAUCCCUAGCUGGUCUGAGAGGAUGACAGGCCACACUGGAAAUGAGACACGGUCCAGACUCAUACGGGAGGGAGCAGUGGGGAAUAUUGCACAAUGGGCGCAAGCCUGAUGCAGCCAUGCCGCGUGUAUGAAGAAGGCCUUCGGGUUGUAAAGUACUUUCAGCGGGGAGGAAGGGGUUAAGGUUAAUAACCUUAGCCAUUGACGUUACCCGCAGAAGAAGCACCGGCUAACUCCGUGCCAGCCGCCGCGGUAA
RNAcentral lists this ribosomal RNA (506 nucleotides) under uncultured bacterium. Its description in RNAcentral is "partial 16S ribosomal RNA". It matches the Rfam family "Bacterial small subunit ribosomal RNA", at positions 30 to 523 of the family's 1533-position model. The record is from RNAcentral.